AACGAACGCUGGCGGCAUGCCUAACACAUGCAAGUCGAACGAGACCUUCGGGUCUAGCGGCGCACGGGUGCGUAACGCGUGGGAACCUGCCCUUAGGUUCGGCAUAACUCCCCGAAAGGGGUGCUAAUACCGGAUAAUGUCUUCGGACCAAAGAUUUAUCGCCUUUGGAUGGGCCCGCGUUGGAUUAGCUAGUUGGUAGGGUAAAAGCCUACCAAGGCGACGAUCCAUAGCUGGUCUGAGAGGAUGAUCAGCCACACUGGGACUGAGACACGGCCCAGACUCCUACGGGAGGCAGCAGUGGGGAAUAUUGGACAAUGGGCGAAAGCCUGAUCCAGCAAUGCCGCGUGAGUGAUGAAGGCCUUAGGGUUGUAAAGCUCUUUUACCCGGGAUGAUAAUGACAGUACCGGGAGAAUAAGCUCCGGCUAACUCCGUG
Molecule: ribosomal RNA, 433 nt
Filed under: uncultured bacterium
Lineage: Bacteria
Description: partial 16S ribosomal RNA
Rfam family: Bacterial small subunit ribosomal RNA
Source: RNAcentral